UUUUCCAGAAUGAGUAAUCCCAACUUUUAAAAUUAUAUGGAUGCUGUCUGUUGUGCUAACGUCCAGAGAUAAAGUGAUCUAAAUAUUAAGGCCUAAUUUCUGUGGGACUUAUUGGGGAUUGUCCUGAAAUGAACAGGCUUCCCUGGUGUCAGUAACUCCUGGAAGAAAGGCUACCUUUCCAUGAAUACAAAGAUUUAGAUACACUUUCUCAUUGUU
Molecule: long non-coding RNA, 216 nt
Filed under: Bos taurus (domestic cattle)
Lineage: Eukaryota; Metazoa; Chordata; Mammalia; Artiodactyla; Bovidae
Description: long non-coding RNA NONBTAT017013
Source: RNAcentral